This 400-nucleotide ribosomal RNA is filed under the name uncultured bacterium. Its description in RNAcentral is "bacterial SSU rRNA". It matches the Rfam family "Bacterial small subunit ribosomal RNA", at positions 355 to 772 of the family's 1533-position model. The record is from RNAcentral.
UGGGGAAUAUUGGACAAUGGGGGCAACCCUGAUCCAGCCAUGCCGCGUGAGUGAUGAAGGCCUUCGGGUUGUAAAGCUCUUUCGCCCACGACGAUAAUGACGGUAGUGGGAGAAGAAGCCUCGGCUAACUCCGUGCCAGCAGCCGCGGUAAUACGGAGGAGGCUAGCGUUGUUCGGAAUUACUGGGCGUAAAGCGUGCGUAGGCUGUGAAACGAGUCGGAUGUGAAAGCCCGGGGCUUAACCCUGGAAUUGCAUCCGAUACUGUUUUGCUAGAGUUGAGGAGAGGAGAGCGGAAUUCCCAGUGUAGAGGUGAAAUUCGUAGAUAUUGGGAAGAACAUCGGUGGCGAAGGCGGCUCUCUGGCCUUUGACUGACGCUGAGGCACGAAAGCGUGGGGAGCAAA